GAGUUAUGUACUGUGCAUGGUUGCUGCAGUUAUUUCAGAUAGGAAUGAAAUGCCAAUGUAGUUCCAAGCCAUGAUGCUAAAGGGGAAUCUGAUAGUGUUUCCAUUGUAUCUACUACUCCUGGCCUAUGUGGUGGUGGUGGUCAUUGCUUUGGAAGGUGCAGCCAAAUGAGAUUGGUCCUGGGUUUCUGGAGUGGCUGUGGAAGUGAUGGGAGAAUGGGGCUAGGUGCAAGUCAGGGCUGCCAAAGCAAGGACUUGCAGGCCAGAUCCACCACAUCAAAGCCAACAUGCAUCGCCACUACAACGAGGCCCCACUAACCUGCUGAAGUCGUCACCAUUUCAAUCCUCGCCUCAAGCCGCCAUAUUUCUGCCAUAGAAACGAGGAACGACCCGGAUGCUGCUGCCGCACCACGACCAGGAGGAACAGGCCAGACCCAUCGAUGGUGGAGCCUCCAGUAAAACCCCGGUCACUAAUGACCACGAGGGAUGGAUAUCUGGAUACACCAGGCUGCCAUAACUGCAGCAGGCCCUUGCAACCACCUUCCCUCACCGCAGCCGCAGAAAAGGUGAACUUUGACACAAAGAAAUUAAGAAACAAGAAAAACAAAAUGCGACCGGCCAGGUGAACAGGAGAGUACGAGCACAGAGUCCGAACACUUCCUAUGUGCCACAGCUGCCAUCUUGAAAAUGGUUUGGUGUCAAAAUUUACUUGGUAAUUGUUUUGUGAUGGCCUAGGUAUUUUAGUACAUUAAAUGUAAAUGCAAGGUG
This is a long non-coding RNA of Rhincodon typus (whale shark), 765 nucleotides long. RefSeq lists it as uncharacterized. The transcript has 2 exons. The record is from RefSeq and is a predicted model, not a curated record. NCBI's taxonomy places the organism in Eukaryota, Metazoa, Chordata, Chondrichthyes, Orectolobiformes, Rhincodontidae.